Molecule: ribosomal RNA, 1447 nt
Filed under: uncultured bacterium
Lineage: Bacteria
Description: bacterial SSU rRNA
Rfam family: Bacterial small subunit ribosomal RNA
Source: RNAcentral
GAUGAACGCUGGCGGCGUGCUUAACACAUGCAAGUCGAACGAUGAAGCCCAGCUUGCUGGGUGGAUUAGUGGCGAACGGGUGAGUAACACGUGAGCAACCUGCCCCUGACUCUGGGAUAAGCGCUGGAAACGGCGUCUAAUACUGGAUACGAACAAGAAUCGCAUGGUUACUUGUUGGAAAGAUUUUUUGGUUGGGGAUGGGCCCGCGGCCUAUCAGCUUGUUGGUGAGGUAAUGGCUCACCAAGGCGUCGACGGGUAGCCGGCCUGAGAGGGUGACCGGCCACACUGGGACUGAGACACGGCCCAGACUCCUACGGGAGGCAGCAGUGGGGAAUAUUGCACAAUGGGCGGAAGCCUGAUGCAGCAACGCCGCGUGAGGGAUGACGGCCUUCGGGUUGUAAACCUCUUUUAGCAGGGAAGAAGCGAAAGUGACGGUACCUGCAGAAAAAGCGCCGGCUAACUACGUGCCAGCAGCCGCGGUAAUACGUAGGGCGCAAGCGUUAUCCGGAAUUAUUGGGCGUAAAGAGCUCGUAGGCGGUUUGUCGCGUCUGCUGUGAAAUCCCGAGGCUCAACCUCGGGCCUGCAGUGGGUACGGGCAGACUAGAGUGCGGUAGGGGAGAUUGGAAUUCCUGGUGUAGCGGUGGAAUGCGCAGAUAUCAGGAGGAACACCGAUGGCGAAGGCAGAUCUCUGGGCCGUAACUGACGCUGAGGAGCGAAAGGGUGGGGAGCAAACAGGCUUAGAUACCCUGGUAGUCCACCCCGUAAACGUUGGGAACUAGUUGUGGGGUCCAUUCCACGGAUUCCGUGACGCAGCUAACGCAUUAAGUCCCCCGCCUGGGGAGUACGGCCGCAAGGCUAAAACUCAAAGGAAUUGACGGGGACCCGCACAAGCGGCGGAGCAUGCGGAUUAAUUCGAUGCAACGCGAAGAACCUUACCAAGGCUUGACAUAUACGAGAACGGGCCAGAAAUGGUCAACUCUUUGGACACUCGUAAACAGGUGGUGCAUGGUUGUCGUCAGCUCGUGUCGUGAGAUGUUGGGUUAAGUCCCGCAACGAGCGCAACCCUCGUUCUAUGUUGCCAGCACGUAAUGGUGGGAACUCAUGGGAUACUGCCGGGGUCAACUCGGAGGAAGGUGGGGAUGACGUCAAAUCAUCAUGCCCCUUAUGUCUUGGGCUUCACGCAUGCUACAAUGGCCGGUACAAUGGGCAGCGAUACCGUGAGGUGGAGCGAAUCCCAAAAAGCCGGUCCCAGUUCGGAUUGAGGUCUGCAACUCGACCUCAUGAAGUCGGAGUCGCUAGUAAUCGCAGAUCAGCAACGCUGCGGUGAAUACGUUCCCGGGUCUUGUACACACCGCCCGUCAAGUCAUGAAAGUCGGUAACACCUGAAGCCGGUGGCCUAACCCUUGUGGAGGGAGCUGUCGAAGGUGGGAUCGGUAAUUAGGACUAA